RNAcentral lists this long non-coding RNA (654 nucleotides) under Homo sapiens (human). RNAcentral's name for it is "non-protein coding lnc-HEATR4-1:12". The record is from RNAcentral. Lineage: Eukaryota; Metazoa; Chordata; Mammalia; Primates; Hominidae.
ACUUAGCAACGGGCUGCAAGAAGAGACGACUUCGGAGGGCCCAGGGUCCUUUGAGCUCCUAGAGGUCCCGUGUGGAACCAUCUGGAAGAGGUAGGAUCCCCUCGCGAGUUUACCCCGGACGUGUGGCGAAUAAAGUUAAGCAUUUUUAACGGUGAUCACCAGAACGCACCUUUGGAUGCUGCAGCAUAAAGUCCACGGCUUCUUCAAAGUACUCCAGAUGUACAUCAUUCAGAUCUUCGGGGAGGUCUUCAAAUCUGAAAUAAGCCAGGGCAAGCACAGCAAAACCAUGUCCGGCCAGGAGGCUGGCCCUGUAUUCACAAAGGCCCCUGCUGCUCCCAAACAGAUCAAUGAUCCCAGGAAAGGGCCCCCUGCCUGGAGAACAUCACAAAUCACAGGGAGCUUUAGUUUCUCAAAAGACAGUAAGCAAACAAGUUUUUGAAGCCAAGGAGAUUGGGGGUAGAGAGAUUGGCAGAGAAAGAACAAAAUGUCUUAUUUUCUCAAACAAUAAUGAUAAUAUAGAGGGAUAAAAAACUACAUAUUGGGUACAAUGUAUACUACUCAGGCGACAGGUGCACUAAAAUCUCAGCGUUCAUCACUGUACAGUUCAUCCGUGUAACCCCAAACCACCUGUACACCAAAAGGUAUUGAAAUUAA